Non-coding RNA from Archocentrus centrarchus (flier cichlid), 1171 nucleotides. NCBI's taxonomy places the organism in Eukaryota, Metazoa, Chordata, Actinopteri, Cichliformes, Cichlidae. The record is from the annotation of a RefSeq genome assembly.
ACUCAGGCCAAAUACACACCUCCAGACUGUGUGAACACUCACGAUUUAACGAUUCGGACCACAACACGCUUGGUCUAUAACCACAAACACCGUGUUUAGCACCUCAUUAUCACGGAGCGAUCAGAAUUGAUCGCUGCAGCUGACCGGCUGACAGAUGAAGGGAGCCUCCAGCAACCACGACACGGCGCAGCAUCACUUUUAACACGUUAAAAGUGACACAUUAACCGCUAAUCUCAGUUUACGAACCCCCCGGUGCCAGAAUUGCCGGGAAGCAGCUCACUUCCCUCCCAGUGUUGGCGGAAUGAAACAAAGGUUAACGCGACGGAAGCGCGGAGCUUUCGCCGAGCUGAUUUUACGCCCACAGACGGCCUUUAAAGUGUCGCUGCCUCCUGAUAAAUGUUGAGUCCAGCGUCACUGCGGUGACACGUCAGGCUGAGAGCAGGUUUGACAGAACUGAUCACGUCGGGGUUGUGGAUGCUGCUCGUGUCUGCUGCUGAGGUCCAACACGUCCGGCUGGGUUCAGCAGCCAGUGUGGGCUGUAACCUCUCCUAUCUUUACGACACGACGUGGCUUAAGCACCAUCCAGAUCAGCCACCCACCGUGAUCUUCUCCGCCAGCCUCAGAGAGGGACGACCCAUCCAAGGCUUUCAGCUCAACGGUCGUUACACGGUGAACUUGGUGAACCGGUCUCUGGUACUGCUGAUCUCUGGGGUUGAGGAGAGAGACCUGGGCCUGUACUACUGCAUUUCCUACGUAAACUCAGAUUUAAAGAUCGGGGAAGGAACCGAUCUUCAGGUUUCAGAUUUAUCUCAGUCUCUUUUUAACCGGCUGUACUGCGCGGUCGUGGGUUUCAGCUUGGUGAUUAUGGUUCUGGCUGUUUGUGUCACCCACUGGAAAACUCGGUCCAAGAAGACAAAGAAGACCGCCAGCAGGACCAGAUACUGACCUCACCCACAAAGACUACACCAGACUCAAACAGUACCUCUGAUGGCAGCAGCAGACGUUUUACAUCCACUGUUACAUCCACUACAUGGAUUCAUUGUUUCCAUGUUGCAUUUCUGUAAAUUCAAUCUCCACAUCUGUGCUUAUGUUUUGUGUAUAAAGUACAGCCUCUCUUUGUUUUUCUGUUUAGAUUUUUAUUUAUUGCAUUCUUAUGUUGCUCCGCUAAAUG